Molecule: long non-coding RNA, 251 nt
Filed under: Oryza brachyantha (malo sina)
Lineage: Eukaryota; Viridiplantae; Streptophyta; Magnoliopsida; Poales; Poaceae
Description: long non-coding RNA (OBRA_LNC001211)
Source: RNAcentral
AAAAAACAACCGGGGAAGCACGAACAACCUACUAGGAAAGAAAAACUCGCAAACAAUUCAUUAAACCCCCGGAGCCAGAAGCCUCCCCUCCUCUCCUCUCCUCUCUUCGCCGCUCUCGUUGCUUCCUCGCGGGGAGUUCGACUUCGAAACCCCCUCCCCCUCCCCUCCGCUGACUUCGAGGAGGAGGAGAAGGCGAAAGCGAAGGCUCCCGCGCGCCGCGGAGAUGAGCACCGACGCCGCCGCCACCGCCG